CCUACGGGAGGCAGCAGUGGGGAAUUUUUCGCAAUGGGGGACACCCUGACGAAGCAACGCCGCGUGGAGGAUGAAGGCCUUCGGGUCGUAAACUCCUGUCGACCGGGACGAAAGUGGUCUGGCCUAAUACGUCGGGCUAUCGACUGUACCGGUGGAGGAAGCCACGGCUAACUCUGUGCCAGCAGCCGCGGUAAUACAGAGGUGGCAAGCGUUGUUCGGAAUUACUGGGCGUAAAGGGCGCGUAGGCUGUCCGACAAGUCCCGCGUGAAAUCCCCCGGCUCAACUGGGGAAUGGCGCGGGAAACUGUCGGGCUUGAGUUCGGGAGAGGGAAGCGGAAUUCCGGGUGUAGCGGUGAAAUGCGCAGAUAUCAGGAAGAACACCAGUGGCGAAGGCGGCUUUCUGGGCUGUCGCUGACACUGAGGUGCGAAAGCUAGGGGAGCGAACAGGAUUAGAUACCCUGGUAGUCCACGCCCUAAACGAUGUCGACUAGUUGUCGGGUCUUUACAGACUUGGUAACGCAGCUAACGCGUGAAGUCGACCGCCUGGGGAGUACGGUCGCAAGAUUAAAACUCAAAGGAAUUGACG
Molecule: ribosomal RNA, 585 nt
Filed under: uncultured bacterium
Lineage: Bacteria
Description: bacterial SSU rRNA
Rfam family: Bacterial small subunit ribosomal RNA
Source: RNAcentral